GAUGAACGCUGGCGGCGUGCUUAACACAUGCAAGUCGAACGGAAAGGCCCUGCUUUUGUGGGGUGCUCGAGUGGCGAACGGGUGAGUAACACGUGAGUAACCUGCCCUUGACUUUGGGAUAACUUCAGGAAACUGGGGCUAAUACCGGAUAGGAGCUCCUGCUGCAUGGUGGGGGGUGGAAAGUUUCGGCGGUUGGGGAUGGACUCGCGGCUUAUCAGCUUGUUGGUGGGGUAGUGGCUUACCAAGGCUUUGACGGGUAGCCGGCCUGAGAGGGUGACCGGCCACAUUGGGACUGAGAUACGGCCCAGACUCCUACGGGAGGCAGCAGUGGGGAAUAUUGCACAAUGGGCGGAAGCCUGAUGCAGCAACGCCGCGUGCGGGAUGACGGCCUUCGGGUUGUAAACCGCUUUCGCCUGUGACGAAGCGUGAGUGACGGUAAUGGGUAAAGAAGCACCGGCUAACUACGUG
RNAcentral lists this ribosomal RNA (468 nucleotides) under uncultured bacterium. RNAcentral's name for it is "partial 16S ribosomal RNA". It matches the Rfam family "Bacterial small subunit ribosomal RNA", at positions 28 to 507 of the family's 1533-position model. The record is from RNAcentral.